This 372-nucleotide ribosomal RNA is filed under the name uncultured organism. RNAcentral's name for it is "bacterial SSU rRNA". It matches the Rfam family "Bacterial small subunit ribosomal RNA", at positions 526 to 896 of the family's 1533-position model. The record is from RNAcentral.
CGGGGGGGGUAAGCGUUGUUCGGAAUUACUGGGCGUAAAGGGCUCGUAGGCGGCCAACUAAGUCAUACGUGAAAUCCCUCAGCUUAACUGGGGAACUGCGUGUGAUACUGGAUGGCUUGGACUUGGGAGAGGGAUGCGGAAUUCCAGGUGUAGCGGUGAAAUGCGUAGAUAUCUGGAGGAACACCGGUGGCGAAGGCGGCAUCCUGGACCAAUAUUGACGCUGAGGAGCGAAAGCCAGGGGAGCAAACGGGAUUAGAUACCCCGGUAGUCCUGGCCCUAAACGAUGAAUGCUUGGUGUAGCGGGUAUCGAUCCCUGCUGUGCCGAAGCUAACGCAUUAAGCAUUCCGCCUGGGGAGUACGGUCGCAAGGCUG